UGUUUGGCCUUGUUACAGACACACUAGGUGACACACACAGGUUUAAAUGGCAAUUAAAGGUUAAUUUCCCACACCUGUGGCUUUUUAAAUUGCAAUUAGUGUCUGUGUGUAAAUAGUCAAUGAGUUUGUUAGCUCUCACGUGGAUGCACUGAGCAGGCUAGAUACUGAGCCAUGGGGAGCAGAAAAGAACUGUCAAAAGACCUGCGUAACAAGGUAAUGGAACUUUAUAAAGAUGGAAAAGGAUAUAAAAAGAUAUCCAAAGCCUUGAAAAUGCCAGUCAGUCCUGUUCAAUCACUUAUUAAGAAGUGGAAAAUUCGGGGAUCUCUUGAUACCAAGCCAAGGUCAGGUAGACCAAGAAAGAUUUCAGCCACAACUGCCAGAAGAAUUGUUCGGGAUACAAAGAAAAACCCACAGGUAACCUCAGGAGAAAUACAGGCUGCUCUGGAAAAAGACGGUGUGGUUGUUUAAAGGAGCACAAUAUGACGAUACUUGAACAAAUAUGAGCUGCAUGGUCCAGUUGCAAGAAAGAAGCCUUUACUGCGCCAAUGCCACAAAAAAGCCCGGUUACAAUAUGCCCGACAACACCUUGACACACCUCACAGCUUCUGGCACACUGUAAUUUGGAGUGACGAGACCAAAAUAGAGCUUUAUGGUCACAAACAUAA
Long non-coding RNA from Myxocyprinus asiaticus (Chinese sucker), 665 nucleotides. RefSeq lists it as uncharacterized. The record is from RefSeq and is a predicted model, not a curated record. The transcript is spliced from 2 exons. Lineage: Eukaryota; Metazoa; Chordata; Actinopteri; Cypriniformes; Catostomidae.